GACGAACGCUGGCGGCGUGCUUAACACAUGCAAGUCGAACGGAAAGGCCCUGCUUUUGUGGGGUGCUCGAGUGGCGAACGGGUGAGUAACACGUGAGUCACCUGCCCUUGACUUUGGGAUAACUUCAGGAAACUGGGGCUAAUACCGGAUAGGAGCUCCUGCUGCAGGGGGGGGGUUGGAAAGUUUCGGCGGUUGGGGAUGGACUCGCGGCUUAUCAGCUUGUUGGUGGGGUAGUGGCUUACCAAGGCUUUGACGGGUAGCCGGCCUGAGAGGGUGACCGGCCACAUUGGGACUGAGAUACGGCGCAGACUCCUACGGGAGGCAGCAGGGGGGAAUAUUGCACAAUGGGCGGAAGCCUGAUGCAGCAACGCCGCGUGCGGGAUGACGGCCUUCGGGUUGUAAACCGCUUUCGCCUGUGACGAAGCGUGAGUGACGGUAAUGGGUAAAGAAGCACCGGCUAACUACGUG
RNAcentral lists this ribosomal RNA (468 nucleotides) under uncultured bacterium. Its description in RNAcentral is "partial 16S ribosomal RNA". It matches the Rfam family "Bacterial small subunit ribosomal RNA", at positions 28 to 507 of the family's 1533-position model. The record is from RNAcentral.